RNAcentral lists this ribosomal RNA (430 nucleotides) under uncultured bacterium. RNAcentral's name for it is "bacterial SSU rRNA". It matches the Rfam family "Bacterial small subunit ribosomal RNA", at positions 8 to 420 of the family's 1533-position model. The record is from RNAcentral.
AGAGUUUGAUCCAUGGCUCAGAACGAACGCUGGCGGCGUGCUUAACACAUGCAAGUCGCGGGAGGACUACCCCUUCGGGGGUAGAGCCGACCGGCGGACGGGUGCGUAACACGUAAGCAACCUGCCCUUGUGCGGGGGACAACCCGGGGAAACCCGGGCUAAUACCGCAUGUUCCGGUGGAGUCGCAUGGCUUUAUCGGGAAAGGUGGCCUCUUUACAAUGCCAUCGCGCGGGGAGGGGCUUGCGGGCUAUCAGCUAGUUGGUGAGGUAACGGCUCACCAAGGCGACGACGGCUAGCGGGUCUGAGAGGAUGAUCCGCCACAUUGGGACUGAGACACGGCCCAGACUCCUACGGGAGGCAGCAGUGGGGAAUAUUGGGCAAUGGCCGAAAGGCUGACCCAGCGACGCCGCGUGCGGGAGGAGGCCCUUCG